Molecule: ribosomal RNA, 1541 nt
Filed under: Escherichia coli
Lineage: Bacteria; Pseudomonadati; Pseudomonadota; Gammaproteobacteria; Enterobacterales; Enterobacteriaceae
Description: bacterial SSU rRNA
Rfam family: Bacterial small subunit ribosomal RNA
Source: RNAcentral
AAAUUGAAGAGUUUGAUCAUGGCUCAGAUUGAACGCUGGCGGCAGGCCUAACACAUGCAAGUCGAACGGUAACAGGAAGCAGCUUGCUGCUUUGCUGACGAGUGGCGGACGGGUGAGUAAUGUCUGGGAAACUGCCUGAUGGAGGGGGAUAACUACUGGAAACGGUAGCUAAUACCGCAUAAUGUCGCAAGACCAAAGAGGGGGACCUUCGGGCCUCUUGCCAUCGGAUGUGCCCAGAUGGGAUUAGCUGGUAGGUGGGGUAACGGCUCACCUAGGCGACGAUCCCUAGCUGGUCUGAGAGGAUGACCAGCCACACUGGAACUGAGACACGGUCCAGACUCCUACGGGAGGCAGCAGUGGGGAAUAUUGCACAAUGGGCGCAAGCCUGAUGCAGCCAUGCCGCGUGUAUGAAGAAGGCCUUCGGGUUGUAAAGUACUUUCAGCGGGGAGGAAGGGAGUAAAGUUAAUACCUUUGCUCAUUGACGUUACCCGCAGAAGAAGCACCGGCUAACUCCGUGCCAGCAGCCGCGGUAAUACGGAGGGUGCAAGCGUUAAUCGGAAUUACUGGGCGUAAAGCGCACGCAGGCGGUUUGUUAAGUCAGAUGUGAAAUCCCCGGGCUCAACCUGGGAACUGCAUCUGAUACUGGCAAGCUUGAGUCUCGUAGAGGGGGGUAGAAUUCCAGGUGUAGCGGUGAAAUGCGUAGAGAUCUGGAGGAAUACCGGUGGCGAAGGCGGCCCCCUGGACGAAGACUGACGCUCAGGUGCGAAAGCGUGGGGAGCAAACAGGAUUAGAUACCCUGGUAGUCCACGCCGUAAACGAUGUCGACUUGGAGGUUGUGCCCUUGAGGCGUGGCUUCCGGAGCUAACGCGUUAAGUCGACCGCCUGGGGAGUACGGCCGCAAGGUUAAAACUCAAAUGAAUUGACGGGGGCCCGCACAAGCGGUGGAGCAUGUGGUUUAAUUCGAUGCAACGCGAAGAACCUUACCUGGUCUUGACAUCCACGGAAGUUUUCAGAGAUGAGAAUGUGCCUUCGGGAACCGUGAGACAGGUGCUGCAUGGCUGUCGUCAGCUCGUGUUGUGAAAUGUUGGGUUAAGUCCCGCAACGAGCGCAACCCUUAUCCUUUGUUGCCAGCGGUCCGGCCGGGAACUCAAAGGAGACUGCCAGUGAUAAACUGGAGGAAGGUGGGGAUGACGUCAAGUCAUCAUGGCCCUUACGACCAGGGCUACACACGUGCUACAAUGGCGCAUACAAAGAGAAGCGACCUCGCGAGAGCAAGCGGACCUCAUAAAGUGCGUCGUAGUCCGGAUUGGAGUCUGCAACUCGACUCCAUGAAGUCGGAAUCGCUAGUAAUCGUGGAUCAGAAUGCCACGGUGAAUACGUUCCCGGGCCUUGUACACACCGCCCGUCACACCAUGGGAGUGGGUUGCAAAAGAAGUAGGUAGCUUAACCUUCGGGAGGGCGCUUACCACUUUGUGAUUCAUGACUGGGGUGAAGUCGUAACAAGGUAACCGUAGGGGAACCUGCGGUUGGAUCACCUCCUU